RNAcentral lists this ribosomal RNA (253 nucleotides) under uncultured bacterium. Its description in RNAcentral is "partial 16S ribosomal RNA". It matches the Rfam family "Bacterial small subunit ribosomal RNA", at positions 524 to 776 of the family's 1533-position model. The record is from RNAcentral.
UACGUAGGGUGCAAGCGUUAAUCGGAAUUACUGGGCGUAAAGCGUGCGCAGGCGGCUUUGCAAGACAGAUGUGAAAUCCCCGGGCUUAACCUGGGAACUGCAUUUGUGACUGCAUGGCUGGAGUGCGGCAGAGGGGGAUGGAAUUCCGCGUGUAGCAGUGAAAUGCGCAGAUAUGCGGAGGAACACCGAUGGCGAAGGCAAUCCCCUGGGCCUGCACUGACGCUCAUGCACGAAAGCGUGGGGAGCAAACAGG